GAGACACCCAAAUGGGGCAGGACUUUUUUAGUGGGGUUUUGGUGCUCACUGAGUCUACCCCUUGCGUGUGUCUCU
Molecule: microRNA precursor, 75 nt
Filed under: Myotis davidii
Lineage: Eukaryota; Metazoa; Chordata; Mammalia; Chiroptera; Vespertilionidae
Description: mir-9229 microRNA precursor family
Rfam family: mir-9229 microRNA precursor family
Source: Rfam by way of RNAcentral